Molecule: ribosomal RNA, 301 nt
Filed under: uncultured bacterium
Lineage: Bacteria
Description: partial 16S ribosomal RNA
Rfam family: Bacterial small subunit ribosomal RNA
Source: RNAcentral
CAGCAGCCGCGGGAAUACGAAGGGGGCUAGCGUUGCUCGGAAUGACUGGGCGUAAAGGGCGCGUAGGCGGCGAUCAAAGUCAGGCGUGAAAUUCCUGGGCUCAACCUGGGGGCUGCGCUUGAUACUUGGUUGCUUGAGUGGGGAAGAGGGUCGUGGAAUUCCCAGUGUAGAGGUGAAAUUCGUAGAUAUUGGGAAGAACACCGGUGGCGAAGGCGGCGACCUGGUCCUUGACUGACGCUGAGGCGCGAAAGCGUGGGGAGCAAACAGGAUUAGAUACCCGCGUAGUCCCUGUCUCUUAUAC